UGCCCCAUAGUCUGGGAUACCACUUGGAAACAAGGUGCUAAUACCGGAUAAGAAAGCGGAUCGCAUGAUCAGCUUUUAAAAGGCGGCGUAAGCUGUCGCUAUGGGAUGGCCCCGCGGUGCAUUAGCUAGUUGGUAAGGUAAAGGCUUACCAAGGCGAUGAUGCAUAGCCGAGUUGAGAGACUGAUCGGCCACAUUGGGACUGAGACACGGCCCAAACUCCUACGGGAGGCAGCAGGC
Molecule: ribosomal RNA, 237 nt
Filed under: uncultured Lactobacillus sp.
Lineage: Bacteria; Bacillati; Bacillota; Bacilli; Lactobacillales; Lactobacillaceae
Description: partial 16S ribosomal RNA
Rfam family: Bacterial small subunit ribosomal RNA
Source: RNAcentral